UUUAAGUAGAANGUGUAACAAGGUCUCCGUUGGUGAACCAGCGGAGGGAUCAUUACCGAGUUUACAACUCCCAAACCCAAUGUGAACGUUACCAAACUGUUGCCUCGGCGGGGUCACGCCCCGGGUGCGUCGCAGCCCCGGAACCAGGCGCCCGCCGGAGGAACCAACCAAACUCUUUCUGUAGUCCCCUCGCGGACGUAUUUCUUACAGCUCUGAGCAAAAAUUCAAAAUGAAUCAAAACUUUCAACAACGGAUCUCUUGGUUCUGGCAUCGAUGAAGAACGCAGCGAAAUGCGAUAAGUAAUGUGAAUUGCAGAAUUCAGUGAAUCAUCGAAUCUUUGAACGCACAUUGCGCCCGCCAGUAUUCUGGCGGGCAUGCCUGUCCGAGCGUCAUUUCAACCCUCGAACCCCUCCGGGGGAUCGGCGUUGGGGAUCGGGACCCCUCACACGGGUGCCGGCCCCGAAAUACAGUGGCGGUCUCGCCGCAGCCUCUCCUGCGCAGUAGUUUGCACAACUCGCACCGGGAGCGCGGCGCGUCCACGUCCGUAAAACACCCAACUUUCUGAAAUGUUGACCUCGGAUCAGGUAGGAAUACCCGCUGAACUUAAGCAUAUCAAUAAGCGGAGGAAAAAAAACCAACCAAAAA
RNAcentral lists this ribosomal RNA (645 nucleotides) under Trichoderma asperellum. Its description in RNAcentral is "eukaryotic LSU rRNA". The stretch from base 239 to 392 matches the Rfam family "5.8S ribosomal RNA". The record is from RNAcentral. Lineage: Eukaryota; Fungi; Ascomycota; Sordariomycetes; Hypocreales; Hypocreaceae.